This 830-nucleotide ribosomal RNA is filed under the name uncultured bacterium. RNAcentral's name for it is "bacterial SSU rRNA". It matches the Rfam family "Bacterial small subunit ribosomal RNA", at positions 532 to 1381 of the family's 1533-position model. The record is from RNAcentral.
AUGCAAGCGUUAUCCGGAAUUAUUGGGCGUAAAGCGUUUGUAGGCGGGCGAGUGUGUUUAAUGUUAAAUCUUAAAGCUCAACUUUGAAAUUGCGUUAAAAACUGCUUGUCUUGAGUAUGGUAGGGGUAAAGGGAAUUCCCAGUGUAGCGGUGAAAUGCGUAGAUAUUGGGAAGAACACUAAACAGCGAAGGCACUUUACUAGGCUAAUACUGACGCUGAGAAACGAAAGGUAAGGUAGCGAAACGGAUUAGAUACCCGUGUAGUCUUACCCGUAAACUAUGGACACUAAACGGUAAAUUUUUAAUUUACUGUUAAAGCUAACGCGUUAAGUGUCCCGCCUGGGGAGUAUGCUUGCAAAAGUGAAACUCAAAGGAAUUGACGGGGGCCCGCACAAGCGGUGGAGCAUGUGGUUUAAUUCGACGGUACACGAAGAACCUUACCAGGAUUUGACAUGCUAGAUAGUUGCUUGAAAGAGUAACGUGCCGUAAGGAAUCUAGACACAGGUGGUGCAUGGCUGUCGUCAGUUCGUGUUGUGAAAUGUUGGGUUAAGUCCCGCAACGAACGCAACCCUUGUCUUUAGUUAUUUUCUAAAGAGACUGCCUGUAAUAAACAGGAGGAAGGUAAGGAUGAGGUCAAGUCAUCAUGCCCCUUAUGUCCUGGGCUACACACGUGCUACAAUGGGAAAGACAAUGAGCUGCAAAUCUGUAAAUUUAAGCAAAUCUCUUAAACUUUCUCGUAGUUCGGAUUGUGGGCUGCAACUCGCCCACAUGAAGUUGGAAUCGCUAGUAAUCGCCAGUCAGCUAUAUGGCGGUGAAUCCGUUCCCGGGCCU